AACGAACGCUGGCGGCAGGCCUAACACAUGCCAGUCGAGCGGACCUUUCGGGGUCAGCGGCGGACGGGUGAGUAACGCGUGGGAAUAUGCCCUUCUCUACGGAAUAGUCCUGGGAAACUGGGGGUAAUACCGUAUACGCCUUUGGGGGAAAGAUUUAUCGGGGAAGGAUUAGCCCGCGUUGGAUUAGGUAGUUGGUGGGGUAAUGGCCUACCAAGCCGACGAUCCAUAGCUGGUUUGAGAGGAUGAUCAGCCACACUGGGACUGAGACACGGCCCAGACUCCUACGGGAGGCAGCAGUGGGGAAUCUUAGACAAUGGGGGCAACCCUGAUCUAGCCAUGCCGCGUGAGUGAUGAAGGCCUUAGGGUUGUAAAGCUCUUUCAGCUGGGAAGAUAAUGACGGUACCAGCAGAAGAAGCCCCGGCUAACUCCGUG
Molecule: ribosomal RNA, 432 nt
Filed under: uncultured bacterium
Lineage: Bacteria
Description: partial 16S ribosomal RNA
Rfam family: Bacterial small subunit ribosomal RNA
Source: RNAcentral